CAUUGGAAAACUAUUUCAUAUCAAAUUGUGCCUAUAGGAAUUUACGCUUCGAACACACCGACUGCGUAAUUGCAUCACUGCUGCCUAACAUUUUGCGUAGCUAGGCAACUAUACUGAUGCGGGUAUCUUUUGCAAAUGGUCGCAUGCGAUUGGACACAUGGAGGAAAGAAUCAUUUUCGCAGAAACCUCAAAACCGUGUCGUUUUGACACACCUGCUGACAGCUACAGGGACAUAAACACAAAAAAUGCUGCUUGGAGACAAGUGUCCACGACAGUAGGAUUGCCAGGUCAGUUUAGUAGGGAGCUUGUGCUAGAUGUGGCUAGUUAGCUAGCUAGCUAACCUAGCCAAUGAGGUUUGUAUGUGAAAUAAAUAGUCAUAUAAAUUGUGCUAGUUACUACCCCUGAUAACUUUACCAAAUAAUCAUGUUUGAAAGAGUGUGAAUGUCAGAUAAAUAGUCAUAGAAAUGGUAGAUAUUACUGUACCCCUGAUCAUUUGGUCAGAUAACUGUGUGUGUGUGUCUGUGUGUACAGUAGGUGACAUGUCCAUGAUAGCUAUCUAAUAACUAUAGUUAUGCUAGGUAAUGGUUUGGUUUAUCGUGUUCAUGUCUAUGUAGAAGAAGACUAGGAGGAAGUGGAUAGGACUCAGGGACAGGUAUCAUAGAGAGAGAAGGGCAAAGAAAGAGAAGAGGUCUGGGUCAGCAGCUUCAGGCCAGCAGCCUUGGCACUUCUGCCACAUUCUUUCUUUUCUGGAUCCAUUUAUUGUGCCUGGAUCCAUUUAUUGUGCCUAGGGCAACGAGGGGCAAUUUUACAGCCAGACCCUCUACUACGUCAUCCACAAGUGUUGUCGCCACCGGUGCAUCAAGACCCUCAAUGUCAUCUACAAGCGAGACCACCGCCACCAUCGGUGCAGCGAGACCCUCUACAACGUUUACAUGAUCCACAAGUAUCCACAAGGGGGAAGCACCUCUGGAUCUAGGACCACCAGAGAUUAUUAUGAACCUCACGGAAGUGACCACUGAGGACCUCGUUGAACAGGAUGUGGGCGUGGAGACAAACAAGGAGAGAAACAGAGAGAGAAACGAAGAGGAACAACUUCACACCAGGCGUCAUCGGAGGUAAUAGCCCCCCAGAUCCACUCAAUUCAUUUCAGCAGAGGCUCCUCCAAGCUGUCGAGAGGGAUGCAGCCCAACCUGAUGCUCACAGGAAGGAGGAUGAAGAGACCCACUUUGCCAUGAGCCUGGUGCCAACACUGAAGAGGCUACCUCAGCAAAGACAAGCAGCAGUCAAGGUUCAAAUGUAUCAGCUGCUUUUCAAAGCCGAGUUCAAUGAGAUGGAUUCAAUUUAGCCGAGCAGCUCACAGGAAGCUGCAACAUUGAGAGCAUCCUGAACGGUUGCAUCACUGCUUGGUACGGCAACUGCUCGGCCUCCGACCACAAGGCACUUCAGAGGGUAGUGCGUACGGCCCAGUACAUCACUGGGGCAAAGCUGCCUGCCAUCCAGGACCUCUACACCAGGCAGUGUCAGAGGAAGGCCCUAAAAAUAGUCAAAGACCCCAGCCACCCCAGUCAUAGACUGUUCUCUCUACUACCGCAUGGCAAGCGGUACCGGAGUGCCAAGGCUAGGACAAAAAGGCUUCUCAACAGUUUUAUCCCCAAGCCAUAAGACUCCUGAACAGAUCUAAGACAAGAUGAAUGUCAAGGCCGUCGUCGGAAGGAGACCAAGGUGCAGCGUUGUGUGCGUACAUUUUGUUUUAUUAUUGUAAAUGUCGCCAGCAAAACAAGAAACAAAGAAACAACCGUGAAGCUUAACAGGGCUAUAGUGCCACUAACAAAGAUAACUACCCACAACUCCCAAAAUGAAAAAAGGCUGCCUAAGUAUGAUUCCCAAUCAGAGACAACGAUAGACAGCUGUACCUGAUUGACGACCAUACCCGGCCAAAACAUAGAAAUAUAACACAUAGAAUGCCCACCCGAAUCACACCCUG
This is a long non-coding RNA of Salvelinus fontinalis (brook trout), 1984 nucleotides long. RefSeq lists it as uncharacterized. The record is from RefSeq and is a predicted model, not a curated record. NCBI's taxonomy places the organism in Eukaryota, Metazoa, Chordata, Actinopteri, Salmoniformes, Salmonidae. The transcript is spliced from 3 exons.